GACGAACGCUGGCGGCGUGCCUAAUACAUGCAAGUCGAGCGAGCUUGCCUAGAUGAAUUUGGUGCUUGCACCAGAUGAAACUAGAUACAAGCGAGCGGCGGACGGGUGAGUAACACGUGGGUAACCUGCCCAAGAGACUGGGAUAACACCUGGAAACAGAUGCUAAUACCGGAUAACAACACUAGACGCAUGUCUAGAGUUUAAAAGAUGGUUCUGCUAUCACUCUUGGAUGGACCUGCGGUGCAUUAGCUAGUUGGUAAGGUAACGGCUUACCAAGGCAAUGAUGCAUAGCCGAGUUGAGAGACUGAUCGGCCACAUUGGGACUGAGACACGGCCCAAACUCCUACGGGAGGCAGCAGUAGGGAAUCUUCCACAAUGGACGCAAGUCUGAUGGAGCAACGCCGCGUGAGUGAAGAAGGGUUUCGGCUCGUAAAGCUCUGUUGGUAGUGAAGAAAGAUAGAGGUAGUAACUGGCCUUUAUUUGACGGUAAUUACUUAGAAAGUCACGGCUAACUACGUGCCAGCAGCCGCGGUAAUACGUAGGUGGCAAGCGUUGUCCGGAUUUAUUGGGCGUAAAGCGAGUGCAGGCGGUUCAAUAAGUCUGAUGUGAAAGCCUUCGGCUCAACCGGAGAAUUGCAUCAGAAACUGUUGAACUUGAGUGCAGAAGAGGAGAGUGGAACUCCAUGUGUAGCGGUGGAAUGCGUAGAUAUAUGGAAGAACACCAGUGGCGAAGGCGGCUCUCUGGUCUGCAACUGACGCUGAGGCUCNAAAGCAUGGGUAGCGAACAGG
This 788-nucleotide ribosomal RNA is filed under the name uncultured Lactobacillus sp. RNAcentral describes it as "bacterial SSU rRNA". It matches the Rfam family "Bacterial small subunit ribosomal RNA", at positions 28 to 776 of the family's 1533-position model. The record is from RNAcentral. Lineage: Bacteria; Bacillati; Bacillota; Bacilli; Lactobacillales; Lactobacillaceae.